CAGCUGUUCAUUUGUUGUUGCUGUUAAGUUAAUUUUCUAUUUCUGUUGUUUUCUAUAUUCAAAACAAAUACAAUUUUCAAUUUAGCGAGGAGGAAUCUUUAAUUUCUGUUAAUCUACAGUUUUCAAGAAUACACAUAACCCAAUAAAGUCAAAAUGACAAAACUUCUAGAAUGGAUAUCAGUGACUUCAGCCAUCUUUGCAGUAUGGUACUCUCUCGUAGGAGGGUACGUCAAGCAUAAACUAAUUGAAGAAAACAUGACACUUGUGGUAAUAUCACCUAUAAUAUUUGUCAUACUGUUUGGCCUGUAUGCUGUUACCGUGGUCUUGUACAGAGUAUUUACCUUCAAUAACUGUGACGAGGCGGCCAAAGAGUUGCAGGCAGAGAUCAUAGAGGCAAAAAGGGAUUUACAUGAGAAGGGACUAAGGUUGUAGACAUUCCAUUUAAUUGUAUGUAGUUUUAAGAGUUAUUCCAUAUUUAUAUAUUAAUAAAGUGUUUUAUUCUUUA
Long non-coding RNA from Bicyclus anynana (squinting bush brown), 505 nucleotides. RefSeq lists it as uncharacterized. NCBI's taxonomy places the organism in Eukaryota, Metazoa, Arthropoda, Insecta, Lepidoptera, Nymphalidae. The record is from RefSeq and is a predicted model, not a curated record. The transcript is spliced from 2 exons.